This 467-nucleotide ribosomal RNA is filed under the name uncultured bacterium. RNAcentral describes it as "partial 16S ribosomal RNA". It matches the Rfam family "Bacterial small subunit ribosomal RNA", at positions 28 to 506 of the family's 1533-position model. The record is from RNAcentral.
GACGAACGCUGGCGGCGUGCUUAACACAUGCAAGUCGAACGGAAAGGCCCUGCUUUUGUGGGGUGCUCGAGUGGCGAACGGGUGAGUAACACGUGAGUAACCUGCCCUUGACUUUGGGAUAACUUCAGGAAACUGGGGCUAAUACCGGAUAGGAGCUCCUGCUGCAUGGUGGGGGUUGGAAAGUUUCGGCGGUUGGGGAUGGACUCGCGGCUUAGCAGCUUGUUGGUGGGGUAGUGGCUUACCAAGGCUUUGACGGGUAGCCGGCCUGGGAGGGUGACCGGCCACAUUGGGACUGAGAUACGGCCCAGACGCCUACGGGAGGCAGCAGUGGGGAAUAUUGCACAAUGGGCGGGAGCCUGAUGCAGCAACGCCGCGUGCGGGAUGACGGCCUUCGGGUUGUAAACCGCUUUCGCCUGUGACGAAGCGUGAGUGACGGUAAUGGGUAAAGAAGCACCGGCUAACUACGU